Molecule: long non-coding RNA, 1473 nt
Filed under: Nicotiana benthamiana
Lineage: Eukaryota; Viridiplantae; Streptophyta; Magnoliopsida; Solanales; Solanaceae
Description: long non-coding RNA (NBEN_LNC026955)
Source: RNAcentral
UAGUGGUCGGUGGCCUUAUUAUAUUUUGUGAAAUAGACAUGAAAUUCAAAUCUAUUUGGUCCCAGAAGGACCUUCCCCAUAUUCGGGGUCCUUGACGCCAUCGAACAGCUUCCAUAACUUGCAUAGUUCCAGCAUCAUGUAGGCUCUGGCCAGAUGUACGCCUUCAUUUCCUCCGGUAUUCCGGCAGUCUUCUACCCUCUUCUGAAAUUUCUUUUCUAAUUUUAUAUACCUCGUUCCAAAUAUCCCAGUCGCUUGUUGGCGCUGACAGUCAUAUCCUUCGACUCGUCAAUUAGUUUUUGAUUGGUUUCCUGUAUCUCUUAGUGCUCAUUUUCGCAUUGCCAGAUCCUUUUGCAUAGUUGAUUGUACUUGACCUGCGCCUCGGUUUUUUUAUCUAUGAUCCCGUGACCUUGAACAAACCCGAGCUGACCCAGAUUGUUCUCAUUAUCCUCCUGUCAGCCUGAAUAGUAUGGAGUACAACAAGUAUGGUAUCUUUCUGGCUCAAUGGUAUCCCUUCCCAUGACGAUUUUGCAAUGCCACAUAUUCUGAGCUUGGCACUUGUAAGGACUAUCAUCAUCCUGAAAUUCGUCCCAAAAGUGACUCAUCUUGUCGACCCAUGGUAUAGCCUGCUUCCUAUCAGCCUGUCUCAUAACUCGGAGAGGGACAUAAAGGUAGGUUCCUCUCAAACCGGUAAGUAUCAGAAAUGGUGCAUCCCCCUGGAUCGGGCGAUGAAUUUCUGAAUAGGGGAACACUCGAACAUCUAUUGUACUUGAUCUUCAGCUAGAUUUUUGAACAACUCUAACUACCCCUUGGCGUCCUUUGGCUGGGGAAACAUAUUGAGCAUGUUGUUUGUUCUCCUUGGGUGAUAGAAGUCUAUAUGAUCAUCCCAAUCCCUUAGCUGAAUCUCUUGCCUACAUUGAACAUUUUGGAGAUGCUCCAUGAGCCAGAGCUGGAGUAGCAAAUUGCAGCUCUCGAAGUGUUUGGCUCCUUGUUAACACUUCUCCAAGGCUCGGUAUAGCUCUGCAAUCAUCAUGUGCACUAUGCUGAAUGUUUGCCCCCAAUUCCCUCCAUUAAUGUCUUGUUUACCAUAGCUAGCUUGGUGCGGAUACUUGGUUUCUUCAUUGGAAACACUAUCAUCCACAGGAAGCAAAACAUGAAGACAAAGGCCCUUCGUUGAAUAUGCCCUAAUGAUGUGAGGGCGAACUCAUUAGGAUAAGUAUGGUAGGAUUUAUUGUGAUCGUACCUCCCGUACAAAUAGUCAAACGGAAUAUACAACUCUUUCAGGCAUAUCAAAUCCGGAUUCUUCUUUGUACCCAUCAUUCUGAGGAAACCUCUACCAUUGCGGUUUUUUGGCAUUAAUAAUCCCAGAGUCUCCCAUGGUAUAUAAGCCAAUCCUCCUAUUUCUUCUAGCAGGGUGUCAUCUCAAUUUCCCCAAAGUAGAACAUAGACCUAUCACAAUCCCAGUACAGAGUAGCA